GGCCUUCAUCCUUUCUACCAUCAUCACUUCAAACCUGCUGUUUUCUUCUUCUGUUGUUACAUACUCACUCCCAGUACCAGGCUUUAUAUUGGUGCGCUUAUUUGCAAGUCACAAAAGCUGCCAGGGUUCCUGAUUCAAAGUCAGAAGCUUGUUAAUUUAAUCACUACAGUCUAGGUCAAUUAUCUACUCCCAAGGUGCGUGAGAGCCUGGGAAAGUGAGCGUCUGCUAUUUUCAGCUUCUAUCGUGGGAGGCAGUCUCACUAGUAUGGGGAAUUCCCCAAACAUUGAAAAGAGUUCUCAGGUGUUCGCUGGCCAAAUCAAAUAACAGAGCUCUACAACCAGGGUGUCCAGUUUGUUGUCAUCAUUGUGGCUCUCUGUUUUUGGUUCAGGUGCACAAUUUUUCUUUCAAGAAGGACCAUUCUGCCUCGGGUUAUUUCAAGCAGAGAAAUCUGCACCUGCACCCCAAUGUGAAGGUAAGAUAUAAUAUAGAAUAGAAUUAUAUCUCCUAAUUGCAUCAUCAUCCUUCAACAAAUUUUUUUUUUUUUUAACUGCCUCCAUUUGCCAGGCACUGCAUUAAGGAUGGGAAUACGGAGUGACGUGGACAAACAUGGCCACAGUGCUCAAGGAUCUUAUGGGCUCCUGGGAGGGGAUCAAACGAUUGAUUAAUCAUAUUUGUGACAACUUCCCUGAAGGACAAAUAUAAGAUAACAUGAGAGAAAAUAAUGGGAAAACCUGGCUUGUCCUUCACAGCAGAAUCAUUGAGGAAACUGCAUUCACAGUGAGUCCUGCCAAAAUACAAAUGAAGAGGCACCAACAAGAGAAAGGGGCUUCACAUUCUCCUGCCAGCUCACAUUUGCCCUUCACCGAGCUGCGGUCUGUUCUAACUGAACUCUUCUUACUGAUGUCCAACGGCAUCUACUCCAGGUAAGCAAAUGUUCACAUCUCAUCAGUCCCUACGGUGCCUGUGUCUCCUUGGAUUUGGGGACAGUUGAUGGCCAUGUGUCCCCUUU
RNAcentral lists this long non-coding RNA (1009 nucleotides) under Ursus maritimus (polar bear). Its description in RNAcentral is "lncRNA (ENSUMAG00000023120.1)". The record is from RNAcentral. Lineage: Eukaryota; Metazoa; Chordata; Mammalia; Carnivora; Ursidae.